GUUUCAAUGUAGGGGGACCAGUGUAGCUGGUUGAGAUUGUAUCCUUUAAUGAUACUGACCCUUAGAACCUGAACUGGUUGAUACCAGCGUAGGAAACAUAAGUAGCGAUAUU
RNAcentral lists this non-coding RNA (112 nucleotides) under Halobacillus halophilus. Its description in RNAcentral is "TPP sequence". It matches the Rfam family "TPP riboswitch aptamer (THI element)". Rfam says of the family: Vitamin B(1) in its active form thiamin pyrophosphate (TPP) is an essential coenzyme that is synthesised by coupling of pyrimidine and thiazole moieties in bacteria. The previously detected thiamin-regulatory element, thi box was extended, resulting in a new, highly conserved RNA secondary structure, the THI element, which is widely distributed in eubacteria and also occurs in some archaea. The record is from RNAcentral. Lineage: Bacteria; Bacillati; Bacillota; Bacilli; Caryophanales; Bacillaceae. RNAcentral also lists the same sequence under 1 other name.